GACGUAGGGUGCGAGCGUUGUCCGGAAUUACUGGGCGUAAAGCGUGCGCAGGCGGUGAUGUAAGACAGUUGUGAAAUCCCCGGGCUCAACCUUUGAAAGCCGAUGGAUACUGCAGGGCUAGAGUCCGGAAGAGGCGAGUGGAAUUCCUGGUGUAGCGGUGGAAUGCGCAGAUAUCAGGAGGAACACCAAUAGCGAAGGCAGCUCGCUGGGACGGUACUGACGCUAAGGCGCGAAAGCGUGGGGAGCGAACAGG
This 253-nucleotide ribosomal RNA is filed under the name uncultured bacterium. Its description in RNAcentral is "partial 16S ribosomal RNA". It matches the Rfam family "Bacterial small subunit ribosomal RNA", at positions 524 to 776 of the family's 1533-position model. The record is from RNAcentral.